This 2902-nucleotide ribosomal RNA is filed under the name Acinetobacter baumannii OIFC143. RNAcentral describes it as "bacterial LSU rRNA". It matches the Rfam family "Bacterial large subunit ribosomal RNA". The record is from RNAcentral. Lineage: Bacteria; Pseudomonadati; Pseudomonadota; Gammaproteobacteria; Moraxellales; Moraxellaceae.
AGUCAAGUAAUUAAGUGCAUGUGGUGGAUGCCUUGGCAGUCAGAGGCGAUGAAAGACGUGAUAGCCUGCGAAAAGCUCCGGGGAGGCGGCAAAUAUCCUUUGAUCCGGAGAUGUCUGAAUGGGGGAACCCACCUACUUUAAGGUAGGUAUUGCAACAUGAAUACAUAGUGUUGCAAGGCGAACGAGGGGAAGUGAAACAUCUCAGUACCCUUAGGAAAAGAAAUCAAUUGAGAUUCCCUCAGUAGCGGCGAGCGAACGGGGAUCAGCCCAUUAAGUUAUGUGUGUUUUAGUGGAACGCUCUGGGAAGUGCGAACGUAGAGGGUGAUAUUCCCGUACACGAAAGGGCACACAUAAUGAUGACGAGUAGGGCGAGGCACGUGAAACCUUGUCUGAAUAUGGGGGGACCGAUCCUCCAAGGCUAAAUACUCCUGACUGACCGAUAGUGAACCAGUACCGUGAGGGAAAGGCGAAAAGAACCCCUGUGAGGGGAGUGAAAUAGAUCCUGAAACCGCAUGCAUACAAGCAGUGGGAGCACCUUCGUGGUGUGACUGCGUACUUUUGUAUAAUGGGUCAGCGACUUAUAUUCAGUAGCGAGGUUAACCGUAUAGGGGAGCCGUAGAGAAAUCGAGUCUUAAUAGGGCGUUUAGUUGCUGGGUAUAGACCCGAAACCAGGCGAUCUAUCCAUGAGCAGGUUGAAGGUUGGGUAACACUAACUGGAGGACCGAACCCACUGUCGUUGAAAAGCCAGGGGAUGACUUGUGGAUAGGGGUGAAAGGCUAAUCAAGCCUGGUGAUAGCUGGUUCUCCCCGAAAGCUAUUUAGGUAGCGCCUCGGACGAAUACCAUAGGGGGUAGAGCACUGUUUCGGCUAGGGGGUCAUCCCGACUUACCAAACCGAUGCAAACUCCGAAUACCUAUGAGUACUAUCCGGGAGACAGACUGCGGGUGCUAACGUCCGUAGUCAAGAGGAAAACAAUCCAGACCGCCAGCUAAGGCCCCAAAAUCAUAGUUAAGUGGGAAACGAUGUGGGAAGGCAUAGACAGCUAGGAGGUUGGCUUAGAAGCAGCCACCCUUUAAAGAAAGCGUAAUAGCUCACUAGUCGAGUCGGCCUGCGCGGAAGAUGUAACGGGGCUAAAACUAUGUGCCGAAGCUGCGGAUGUAUACUUUGUAUACGUGGUAGGGGAGCGUUCUGUAAGCCGAUGAAGGUGUGUUGAGAAGCAUGCUGGAGGUAUCAGAAGUGCGAAUGCUGACGUGAGUAACGACAAAACGGGUGAAAAACCCGUUCGCCGAAAGACCAAGGGUUCCAGUCCAACGUUAAUCGGGGCUGGGUGAGUCGACCCCUAAGGCGAGGCCGAAAGGCGUAGUCGAUGGGAAAAUGGUUAAUAUUCCAUUACUUCUGUGUAAUGCGAUGAGAGGACGGAGAAGGCUAAAUCAGCCUGGCGUUGGUUGUCCAGGUGAAAGGAUGUAGGCAUGUAUCUUAGGCAAAUCCGGGGUACUCUAUGCUGAGAUCUGAUAGCAAGCUGUACUUGUACAGCGAAGUGGUUGAUGCCAUGCUUCCAGGAAAAGUCUCUAAGCUUCAGUUACACAGGAAUCGUACCCGAAACCGACACAGGUGGUCAGGUCGAGUAGACCAAGGCGCUUGAGAGAACUCUGCUGAAGGAACUAGGCAAAAUGGUACCGUAACUUCGGGAGAAGGUACGCUGUUGUUGGUGAUGGAACUCGCUUCCUGAGCUGACGACAGCCGCAGAAACCAGGCCGCUGCAACUGUUUAUUAAAAACAUAGCACUCUGCAAACACGAAAGUGGACGUAUAGGGUGUGAUGCCUGCCCGGUGCUGGAAGGUUAAUUGAUGGGGUUAGCGUAAGCGAAGCUCUUGAUCGAAGCCCCAGUAAACGGCGGCCGUAACUAUAACGGUCCUAAGGUAGCGAAAUUCCUUGUCGGGUAAGUUCCGACCUGCACGAAUGGCAUAAUGAUGGCGGCGCUGUCUCCAGCAGAGGCUCAGUGAAAUCGAAAUCGCUGUGAAGAUGCAGUGUACCCGCGGCUAGACGGAAAGACCCCGUGAACCUUUACUGCAGCUUGACACUGAACUUUGACCUUACUUGUGUAGGAUAGGUGGGAGGCUUUGAAGCUGGAACGCUAGUUCCAGUGGAGCCGUCCUUGAAAUACCACCCUGGUAAUGUUGAGGUUCUAACUCUGUCCCGUGAUCCGGGACGAGGACCGUGUCUGGUGGGUAGUUUGACUGGGGCGGUCUCCUCCUAAAGAGUAACGGAGGAGUACGAAGGUGCGCUCAGCGUGGUCGGAAAUCACGCGUAGAGUAUAAAGGCAAAAGCGCGCUUAACUGCGAGACCCACAAGUCGAGCAGGUACGAAAGUAGGUCUUAGUGAUCCGGUGGUUCUGUAUGGAAGGGCCAUCGCUCAACGGAUAAAAGGUACUCUGGGGAUAACAGGCUGAUACCGCCCAAGAGUUCAUAUCGACGGCGGUGUUUGGCACCUCGAUGUCGGCUCAUCUCAUCCUGGGGCUGAAGCAGGUCCCAAGGGUAUGGCUGUUCGCCAUUUAAAGAGGUACGCGAGCUGGGUUUAGAACGUCGUGAGACAGUUCGGUCCCUAUCUACCGUGGGCGCUGGAAAUUUGAGAGGAUCUGCUCCUAGUACGAGAGGACCAGAGUGGACGAACCUCUGGUGUACCGGUUGUGACGCCAGUCGCAUCGCCGGGUAGCUAUGUUCGGAAGGGAUAACCGCUGAAAGCAUCUAAGCGGGAAGCCUACCUCAAGAUAAGAUUUCCCUAGGACUUUAUGUCCUCUAAAGAGCCGUUCGAGACUAGGACGUUGAUAGGUUGGAUGUGGAAGCAUAGUGAUAUGUGAAGCUGACCAAUACUAAUUGCUCGUGAGGCUUGACUAUACAACACCC